RNAcentral lists this ribosomal RNA (1786 nucleotides) under wastewater metagenome. Its description in RNAcentral is "bacterial LSU rRNA". It matches the Rfam family "Bacterial large subunit ribosomal RNA", at positions 1103 to 2925 of the family's 2925-position model. The record is from RNAcentral.
GGCUUGGAAGCAGCCAUUCAUUUAAAGAGUGCGUAACAGCUCACUAGUCGAGCGAUCGGGCAUGGAUAAUAAUCGGGCAUCAAGCAUAUUACCGAAGCUAUGGAUUACGCCGCAAGGCGUACUGGUAGGGGAGCAUUCCAGUCUGCGUCGAAGGUGUGUUGUAAGACAUGCUGGAGCGUCUGGAAAAGCAAAUGUAGGCAUAAGUAACGAUAAUGCGGGUGAGAAACCCGCACACCGGAAGACCAAGGUUUCCUGAUCAACGCUAAUCGGAUCAGGGUUAGUCGGGGCCUAAGACAAACCCAAACGGGGUAGUCGAUGGACAACAUGUUAAUAUUCAUGUACCGGCUCAACUGCGAUGGGGUGGUGGAGUAGUGAAAGGUCUGCGUACUGACGGAAUAGUACGUUGAAGGGUGUAGAUAUAUUUGGAGUAGGCAAAUCCGCUUCGAAUGUCGAACCUGAUAGUACCGUGAGCCUUCGGGCAAGCGGAUAAUGACCCUAAUCAGACUCACAAGAAAAACCCCUAAGCUUCAGGUUGAAGCCGCCCGUACCGGAAACCGACACAGGUGGUCGAGGAGAGUAUCCAAAGGUGCUCGAGUGAAUCAUGGCUAAGGAACUAGGCAAAUUAGUCCUGUAACUUCGGGAAAAAGGACCCCCGCUAUGCGGGGCGCAGAGAAAUGGCCCAGGCGACUGUUUAUCAAAAACACAUGGCUUUGCUAAAUCGAAAGAUGACGUAUAAGGCCUGACACCUGCCCGGUGCUGGAAGGUUAAGAGGAGAGGUUAGUCGCAAGGCGAAGCUUUGAAUUGAAGCCCCAGUAAACGGCGGCCGUAACUAUAACGGUCCUAAGGUAGCGAAAUUCCUUGUCGGGUAAGUUCCGACCUGCACGAAUGGUGUAACGAUCUGGGCACUGUCUCAGCCAUGAGCUCGGUGAAAUUGUAGUUCCGGUGAAGAUGCCGGAUACCCGCAACGGGACGGAAAGACCCCGUGCACCUUCACUAUAACUUUGCAUUGACUGUGAAUAAACGAUGUGUAGGAUAGGUGGGAGAUUGUGAAGCGGAGGCGCCAGCUUUCGUGGAAUCAACCUUGAAAUACCACCCUUUGUUUAUUUGUAGCCUAAUCCCCAACGGGAGACAUUGCAUGGUGGGUAGUUUGACUGGGGUGGUCGCCUCCAAAAGAGUAACGGAGGCUUUCAAAGGUACCCUCAGUACGCUUGGUAACCGUACGUGGAGUGCAAUCGCACAAGGGUGCUUGACUGUGAGACCGACAAGUCGAGCAGGUACGAAAGUAGGAUAUAGUGAUCCGGUGGUUCCGCAUGGAAGGGCCAUCGCUCAAAGGAUAAAAGGUACUCCGGGGAUAACAGGCUGAUCUCCCCCAAGAGCUCAUAUCGACGGGGAGGUUUGGCACCUCGAUGUCGGCUCGUCACAUCCUGGGGCUGGAGAAGGUCCCAAGGGUUGGGCUGUUCGCCCAUUAAAGUGGCACGCGAGCUGGGUUCAGAACGUCGCAAGACAGUUCGGUCCCUAUCUGUUAUGGGCGUUUGAGAUUUGAGAAGAUCUGUUUCUAGUACGAGAGGACCGGAAUGGACUGACCUCUAGUGUACCAGUUAUGUCGCCAGAUGUACCGCUGGGUAGCUACGUUGGGAAUGGAUAAGCGCUGAAAGCAUCUAAGCACGAAACCAACUUCAAGAUGAGUUCUCAUAGGGUCGUCGAAGACUACGACGUUGAUAGGUCAUAGGUGUAAAGGUGGUAACAUCAAAGCCGAGUGAUACUAAUAACCCAUCAACUUUUUAAA